UUUCCGUAGGUGAACCUGCGGAAGGAUCAUUAAUGAGUUGUCAUGGGGUUCGAUGCUGGCAGCCAGUUUUUGGAUGCAUGUGCUGCCCUAACAAUCAUCUUCUUCCAAACACCUGUGCACAUUUUUGAGGGAGUCUUGAGUUGGUUGCCGCUCUUGGGUGAUUUUCUCACAUUCCCUUAAAUCAUUAUACGCUAUUAACAAUGUUGAACGUGCUCUGUGCCGCAAGGCCAUUAAUAUAAUACAACUUUUAACAACGGAUCUCUUGGCUCUC
Molecule: unclassified non-coding RNA, 271 nt
Filed under: plant metagenome
Description: partial contains small subunit ribosomal RNA, internal transcribed spacer 1, and 5.8S ribosomal RNA
Source: RNAcentral